UACGUAGGGUGCAAGCGUUAAUCGGAAUUACUGGGCGUAAAGCGUGCGCAGGCGGUUUUGUAAGCCAGAUGUGAAAUCCCCGGGCUUAACCUGGGAAUGGCAUUUGGGGCUGCAAGGCUGGAGUUUGGCAGAGGAGACUGGAAUUCCUGGUGUAGCAGUGAAAUGCGUAGAUAUCAGGAGGAAUACCGAUGGCGAAGGCAGGUCUCUGGGCUAUAACUGACGCUCAUGCACGAAAGCGUGGGGAGCAAACAGG
This 253-nucleotide ribosomal RNA is filed under the name uncultured bacterium. Its description in RNAcentral is "partial 16S ribosomal RNA". It matches the Rfam family "Bacterial small subunit ribosomal RNA", at positions 524 to 776 of the family's 1533-position model. The record is from RNAcentral.